RNAcentral lists this ribosomal RNA (467 nucleotides) under uncultured bacterium. RNAcentral describes it as "partial 16S ribosomal RNA". It matches the Rfam family "Bacterial small subunit ribosomal RNA", at positions 28 to 506 of the family's 1533-position model. The record is from RNAcentral.
GACGAACGCUGGCGGCGUGCUUAACACAUGCAAGUCGAACGGAAAGGCCCUGCUUUUGUGGGGUGCUCGAGUGGCGAACGGGUGAGUAACACGUGAGUAACCUGCCCUUGACUUUGGGAUAACUUCAGGAAACUGGGGCUAAUACCGGAUAGGAGCUCCUGCUGCAUGGUGGGGGUUGGAAAGUUUCGGCGGUUGGGGAUGGACUCGCGGCUUAUCAGCUUGUUGGUGGGGUAGUGGCUUACCAAGGCUUUGACGGGUAGCCGGCCUGAGAGGGUGACCGGCCCAAUGGGGACGAGAUAACGGCCCAGAUCCCUAGGGGAGGCAGGAGUGGGGAAUAUUGGACAAGGGGGGGAGGCAUGACGCAGCAAGCCCGGGGGGGGGAUGACGGCCUUGGGGUGGUAACCCGUUUUAGCCGUGGAAGAAGCGGGAGGGAAGGAAAUGGGGAAAGAAGCACCGGCCAACUACGU